UUUAACCACAACAUAAGUUCAGUCUCUAAACACACUGUCUUACCUUUCUGAUGCACUGAUUUCUAUCUUUUUUCAGAUUUUAAUUCUCUGUGAAGGAAACUCCAUGUAUUUUAAGGAAGUGCUAAGCAUCAUGAUGGUUUUUAGAACAACCAGAUCAUUGUGAUGAAACUGGCUUUUAACAAA
RNAcentral lists this long non-coding RNA (183 nucleotides) under Corvus moneduloides (New Caledonian crow). Its description in RNAcentral is "lncRNA (ENSCMUG00000017031.1)". The record is from RNAcentral. Lineage: Eukaryota; Metazoa; Chordata; Aves; Passeriformes; Corvidae.